AUGUCCUUGGGGGAAUCCCCGCGGCCAUAUUUGUUUUCAGUCCAAUUGAUUAGCCAAACAAGGGAAGUUUGCAACGUAAGCCCCUCAGCCCUUGUUUUAAAUGUGGAGUUUGCGAGUGUACAAUUAUGUUCACUUCGGAGCCUGAAAUGCCCCCAACUUUUCAAUUCGCGAUGAUUGUAUAUCCGCUAAUAAAAGUCCACUAAAACUUAAAACCUCAACAUGGAGUCAACAUAAAAGUGGCACUCCAGGAACUCAGGAUCAUGUUCUCCAUCACAAUUGCCACACCAUCGUCCUUCUACACACCAUUCUUCAGUAUGCUCGAUGAACGUGGUACCUUCAGGCGUUUGGAAAUUGCUCCCAAGGAUGAACCAGACUUGUGGAGGUCUACACUUUUUUCCUGAGGUCUUGGCUGAUUUCUUUGGAUUUUCCCAUGAUGUCAAGCAAAGAGGCACUGAGUUUGAAGAUAGCUUGUAACUGGAGAUCCCUUCAAAAACGAUUGCCUACAAUUACCGUGUAGGGAGCACUGCAAGGUUGGGUGACCAGGGCCAUCUAGCACUGCCUCCUGGGGGAAUUCAGGCAUGUGAAGGCUACUUGUGUCCUGAUUAACUUCAUGAGGAUGGACACGAGGACCAGGAGGGGAUCUGCACCUCUCCUUCGUGUGCCAGACGAGAAGUCUGCUGCUCUUGCAAGAUGUUUCAAGGAUGGGGUCUGUUUUUUUGGAACAAUUAGACACCCUAUAUAUAACCCAGACUCGUGUAUCAAUUUGAUUGAUGGAUUGUGUUGUGCCAUGAGCAGGCUCAGGUUUAUAACUGUGGCUCCCUCCAUCUACAAAAAAUAAGCAAGAGGGUCAACCAUAGAGAAGAGUAAGACACUUCAUUAUUUCUAUAACUACGCUAUAUUGUUUGUCCUCGUGUGUCCGUUCAGAUCCCUGUUGAACAGUCUCUUUAACUACCUUAUUUUCUCACACAGUCUCUCUCCUUCACUUCAUCCCUCUCUCCCCUUCUCCCUAAAUCCUCUAGGUUAUAUCAGCUGUGUCGGUGAACCCCUCCCGCAUCUGAAAUGACUACAUAGAGGGCACAGCAUGAUCAUAGGUAUGUUUUGUUGUGAGAGAGGAUGCCAAACCCCAGUCCUGUCAUCGCCACCUCAUCCACUCUUAAGAUAACCUUCAGGCCGACUGGGAGCCCAAGGCUGGCUAGGAGACACCAUUAUGUAAUUGUGAUGAACAGAGUAUUCAUCAAUCAUAUGCUGUAUUCCCUGCUCCUCUGUUCUUACCUCUUUCCCUUUUUAUAUGUCUCUCGUCGUCUUUAUUCCUGUUUUUAUAAGGCACACCAGAUGUGCAUUGAAGUACAGAUUGAACUUGUACAGUGGGGCAAAAAAGUAUUUAGUCAGCCACCAAUUGUGCAAGUUCUCCCACUUAAAAAGAUGAGAGGCCUGUAAUUUUCAUCAUAGGUACACUUCAACUAUGACAGACAAAAUUAGGAGAAAAAAAUCCAGAAAAUCACAUUGCAAAUAAAUUCAUUAAAAUCCUACAAAUGACACUCCAGGAACUCAGGAUCAUGUUCUCCAUCACAAUUGCCACACCAUCGUCCUUCUACACACCAUUCUUCAGUAUGCUCGGUUUGUUGGCACACACUUGAAACAUGGCUAAAUCCUUUACAAUUCUAACAUUGCAGUGGUUUGGGGACGAAAGCUUUUACGGCGUACAGUGGGGCAAAAAAGUAUUUAGUCAGCCACCAAUUGUGCAAGUUCUCCCAAUUAAAAAGAUGAGAGGCCUGUAAUUUUCAUCAUAGGU
Molecule: long non-coding RNA, 1792 nt
Organism: Oncorhynchus kisutch (coho salmon)
Lineage: Eukaryota; Metazoa; Chordata; Actinopteri; Salmoniformes; Salmonidae
Exons: 5
Source: RefSeq, a predicted model, not a curated record